This 1014-nucleotide ribosomal RNA is filed under the name Triticum aestivum (bread wheat). Its description in RNAcentral is "partial small subunit ribosomal RNA". Lineage: Eukaryota; Viridiplantae; Streptophyta; Magnoliopsida; Poales; Poaceae. The record is from RNAcentral.
AUGGCACAAUAUAUGCCCUCCCGGGAACACGAAGACGGCGCCGAAGCAAACCAAGAGGUCUACCAACGGUUCACCAACUUGGUGUCCUCCUGGCCGGUCUCCCCGGGCCUCUCCGGCUUCCAGAUCUACCGCCACGAAAGCGGUUGGUACACCAGCCUGGCUCCAAUGGUGGGCGCCAUGGUCGCUGACGCAUGCUUCACCGCGCGCCCCUCCGAUAUCGUCGUGGCCACGCUGCCCAAGUCCGGGACGACGUGGAUCAAAGCACUUCUCUACUCCACCAUGCACAGGAAGGAGCACCCCGUAGACUCCGGCGACCACCCGUUCAACUCCGUCAGCCCACACGAAUGCGUCAAGUUCCUGGAGUACCAGCUCUACACGGCGAGCAGGAUCCCAGACAUCGGCCGGCUCCCGGACCCGAGGCUCUUCGCGACGCACGUCCCAUUCGUGUCGCUGCCGAGGUCCGUCCCAGGAUCGGGCUGCAAAAUCGUCUACGUGUGCCGCGACCCCAAGGACAUCCUGGUCUCGCAGUGGAAGCUCUCCAACAAGUUCAGGAUCAGGGACGGGCUGGAGCCGCUCUCCGUCGAGGCCGCCGCCGAUUUCUUCUGCGACGGCUUGUCACCGGGAGGGCCAUACUGGGAUCAUGUCCUUGGGUAUUGGCGCGCGCAUAUGGCGCACCCCGAGCGGGUGCUAUUCUUCCGGUACGAAGACAUGAUUCGGGACCCUGCGGCUCAUGUGAGUAAGCUGGCGGAGUUCGUCGGACGCCCGUUCGACGCGGGGGAGGAGGAUGCCGGUACGGUGGACGCCAUUGUCAGGCUAUGCUCGUUUGAGAACAUGACCGGGCUCGGGGCCACCAAGGAAGGCAAGACCGAGCUCGUGGUAGGCGCGGUGGAGAACAACUGGUUCUUCCGGCGCGGCAUGGUUGGGGACUGGGAGAACCAUCUGCCGCCAGAGACGACACGGAAGAUCGACGCCAUCACCCACGCCAGGUUCAGGGAUUCCGGCCUCCAUGUCUAG